RNAcentral lists this ribosomal RNA (515 nucleotides) under uncultured bacterium. Its description in RNAcentral is "partial 16S ribosomal RNA". It matches the Rfam family "Bacterial small subunit ribosomal RNA", at positions 28 to 523 of the family's 1533-position model. The record is from RNAcentral.
GAUGAACGCUGGCGGCGUGCCUAAUACAUGCAAGUCGAGCGAAUGGAUUGAGAGCUUGCUCUUAUGAAGUUAGCGGCGGACGGGUGAGUAACACGUGGGUAACCUGCCCAUAAGACUGGGAUAACUCCGGGAAACCGGGGCUAAUACCGGAUAACAUUUUGAACCGCAUGGUUCGAAAUUGAAAGGCGGCUUCGGAUGUCACUUAUGGAUGGACCCGCGUCGCAUUAGCUAGUUGGUAAGGUAACGGCUCACCAAGGCAACGAUGCGUAGCCGACCUGAGAGGGUGAUCGGCCACACUGGGACUGAGACACGGCCCAGACUCCUACGGGAGGCAGCAGUAGGGAAUCUUCCGCAAUGGACGAAAGUCUGACGGAGCAACGCCGCGUGAGUGAUGAAGGCUUUCGGGUCGUAAAACUCUGUUGUUAGGGAAGAACAAGUGCUAGUUGAAUAAGCUGGCACCUUGACGGUACCUAACCAGAAAGCCACGGCUAACUACGUGCCAGCCGCCGCGGUAA